This 1508-nucleotide long non-coding RNA is filed under the name Eucalyptus grandis. RNAcentral describes it as "long non-coding RNA (EGRA_LNC006873)". Lineage: Eukaryota; Viridiplantae; Streptophyta; Magnoliopsida; Myrtales; Myrtaceae. The record is from RNAcentral.
UGUGAUUAGAGUCUAAUUGAUAUUGUGUAAUCAGUACAAUUUCCCUUGAUUGAUGCUGUAUAUUAGGGAAUCGUCUUUUGUCUUUUCCACACACUUAUUGCCUAAAUUAGUUGGACCUUAUGUAUUAUAAAUAGGGCGGUACACAUACGCUCAGUAUAAGAAAAACCAGCAUAUACACAUUCUUAUAUUUGUCUUCUUCUAGCUUUUCUUCAUUCCCUUUUCCUUUCAUGGUAUCAGAGCAAUCCUGAUCCUGGCAUAGCUUCCACGUUGUUUUUGAAUUGCCUCCGUCUUAUCUCUAUCUUGUCAUUGCGACACCUAUUCUACAAAACAAAACAACACCCGGUAGGAAUUCAUUCUUGAUACCAUGACAAACAAGGAAGAGAACAAUUCACCCCAGAAUCUUAGUUCGGAUCAAAUUGAUCCAACUGAGGAAGAGACUCCUUCUCAAUUGGGACUAUCCCAACUCCAGCUAAGGUUUCGGGGCCAGCCCAAUGGUCCGCAGUUCAGUGGAUUCCACUUCAAGGCCCAUCCGGAGAUGGAGGAUCGGGCUGGAUGGGUUGGACGGGUCCAGGUCCCAGACCCAAAUCCACUCAAACGGGUCAUGGGACGGAACCCUUCCCGGUUUUCCCACCGUUUUUUAAUGUGGAAUGUUGCCGUAUGUGAUUCCGGCCAACGGCGAUCGACUGGAACUCGGCGACCCCCUCUACACUUCGUCGGUCGACGAGUCGAAACUCCGACUCAUGACUCUACAACUCUCGGGACCAGAGAAUUACUCCGUUUGGUCCUGAGGACUCCGCCAAGCCCUUGUCACUAAAGACAAAGAUGGGUUUAUCGACGGCAACAUCCCGGUACCGUCCAAUGGGCGGCUUGCAUGACAUUGGAGGAAGUGCAGCCAGCUCGUGCGAACAUGGAUAGAGAACUACCUUACUCCGGAGGUUGUCGCAGAACUUCCUCCGACCGAAGACGCAAGACAAAUUUGGGAGAGCAUUCGAGAGAUGUACGGCAAGCUCGAUAGGGCAAAAAUUUUCGGCCUAACUCAAGCCCUAUCGGGGCCAAAAAAGGGCAAUCUCUCUGUUACCGCUGUCUUUAACAAAUUGUCGGCCCUUUGGAACGAGCUAGAAAUGGCGGAAGAAAGACUCGAAGGCCCCGAGGCCACCCUAGCUCAGUCCCGAGCGAUUAAGGAGCGAGAAAAAGUAACAAGAUUCCUACUGAUCUUAAACGAGACGUACCUUCCCUUCCGAAGUCAGAUCCUUGCCAUGGAUCCCGUUCCCUCGAUUGGAUGAAUCUAUCAACUCGCGGUGCAAGAAGAAUCGCAGCCCCUUGCUUCCACAGAGUUUGUGAAGGCCAGCGACCGUGUUGUGCUUGCGGCGAGGGCGGUGACGGCGGCGACGGAGCGGCGACGCCAUGGCCGGAGUAGCCAUGGGGGAUUUUCUCGCUCGGGCACAUUAGGGUUUGCAGUUGAGGAAGAUGACUUCUCUUCCUUCAAAAUGGACGGGGUCUGAUUUAAU